Xyrauchen texanus (razorback sucker) is the source of this 334-nucleotide long non-coding RNA. RefSeq lists it as uncharacterized. NCBI's taxonomy places the organism in Eukaryota, Metazoa, Chordata, Actinopteri, Cypriniformes, Catostomidae. The transcript has 3 exons. The record is from RefSeq and is a predicted model, not a curated record.
AGUGUGUGUUCGGCUGAACGGAUGGUCUGGAUGUAUUUCAACUUUCAACGUUCAGCUAUAAUUUUUUCCUACAGAGUAAUCUGCACUAAUUUUCUCCAUUCCACCGAUGUGUUUGUGUUUUGCGGGUAAAUUUCCAUAAUUUCUUUCCCUGUGUAACCACAUUUAAACAUGCAGCCUCCUCCGAGAAAGGUAAAAGUCACACAAGAGGUGAAACACACUCACACAGAGCAGCUGAAUCGACUACAGCUCAAACACCAGACAGACUGGGACUUUCUGGAAGAUCUGAGGACGUACAGCCAGAAGAAAGCCCUAAUAGAGAAAGAUUACUCACAAG